AUUGAACGCUGGCGGCAGGCCUAACACAUGCAAGUCGAACGGUAACAGGAAUCAGCUUGCUGAUUUGCUGACGAGUGGCGGACGGGUGAGUAAUGUCUGGGAAACUGCCUGAUGGAGGGGGAUAACUACUGGAAACGGUAGCUAAUACCGCAUAACGUCGCAAGACCAAAGAGGGGGACCUUCGGGCCUCUUGCCAUCGGAUGUGCCCAGAUGGGAUUAGCUAGUAGGUGGGGUAAAGGCUCACCUAGGCGACGAUCCCUAGCUGGUCUGAGAGGAUGACCAGCCACACUGGAACUGAGACACGGUCCAGACUCCUACGGGAGGCAGCAGUGGGGAAUAUUGCACAAUGGGCGCAAGCCUGAUGCAGCCAUGCCGCGUGUAUGAAGAAGGCCUUCAGGUUGUAAAGUACUUUCAGCGGGGAGGAAGGGAGUAAAGUUAAUACCUUUGCUCAUUGACGUUACCCGCAGAAGAAGCACCGGCUAACUCCGUG
RNAcentral lists this ribosomal RNA (490 nucleotides) under uncultured bacterium. Its description in RNAcentral is "partial 16S ribosomal RNA". It matches the Rfam family "Bacterial small subunit ribosomal RNA", at positions 30 to 507 of the family's 1533-position model. The record is from RNAcentral.